AUGUGUCCCCUGCAGGGAUUUCUCCCGGAAGGUAUGUUUGACCGGAUUCUCACCGGACCGGUUGUGCGGGAAGAAGUGAGCCGGAGAGGAAGGCGCCCCAAAAGUGAGAUUGCCAAGGCAACAGCAGCUGCAGCAGCUGCCACUGCUGCCAGCGUCUCAGUGAACCCUCUGCUAGCUAACGGAUUGCUUCCAGGCGUGGAUCUGCCCAGUCUUCAGGCCUUACAACAGAACCUGCAAAACCUGCAGUCACUGCAAGUAACAGCGGGAUUAAUGGGAAUGCCAGCUGGCCUAACUACUGGAGGAGAAGCGAAGAGCAUGGCUGCCAUGUUCCCCAUGCUGCUGUCAGGGAUGGCUGGAUUACCAAACUUGCUGGGCAUGGGAGGACUUCUGACAAAGUCUACAGAGUCUGUUUCGGAGGAAAAAAAGGGAAGCGAUUCAAAGGAGGCGGAUAUAAAGAAAGAAAGGACAGAAGACCAAAAUAUGGAUACUGGUGGUGAAAACUCUGUUUCAAGUUCUCCUUCAACAUCCUCUGCUGCUGCAGCUGCCAAUCCUCUCUCUCUUAACCCAUUACUUUUGUCCAACAUACUUUACCCAGGGAUGCUUCUCACUCCAGGCCUUAAUCUUCAUAUCCCAGCUUUGUCUCAGUCUAAUAUUUUUGAUGUACAAAACAGUGAAAGCAAUGACACGGGCUCAGCCAAGCCCACAGAAGAAAAGGAGGAAAAUUCUAGGGUUAGAGAUCAGAAAGACAAAGGGGGAACAGAGCCAAGCUCUCACAAUGAAAACAGCACAGAUGAGGGUUCAGAGAAAGCAGAUGCUUCAUCUGGAUCUGAUAGUACAUCGUCUUCAUCUGAGGAUUCAGAUUCUAGUGAUGAAGACUGACCCCAGACUCUGCACUUAAAUUAUAAACUGAUUUUGAAUUUAUUCUUUAAUUAUUUCAUUGUAAAUAACCCAGUGUUGAGUGCAUCAAUGAUUUACCGACCGAACAUUUCAGUAUUUGUUUAGAAGUGCAAACUGCUUUCAGAGACGUUUUGCAUGUAAUAUUUCUUGAAGUUCAUAAGUUUCUGAACUUGUAUGUACUAUCAAAUACACAAUGGUGUAAAAUUACAACAAAAGGCAUUAUAAUUUUGUUGGGGGGUUAAUUUUAUGAAAAUAAUGCUCGAGUAAGAGCUGUAUAUUUAAUAUAUUUGCAGUGAACACAGAAUACUUUAUGCAUAUUAUUGAUUUAAUUUGAAUAUAGUUUUACAGCCUCCUUGACACUUAUAAUUUACAGAUCAAAACUCAGCAAUAAUUUGGGCAGCUAAUGAAUGUCAUGAAAGCUGUAGAAUCUACAUCACCAUCCAUUGCUUUAAUUACAUGAAAAUGCUCUAGUGUUGUGAUGCACUGCUGUUUCCAAUUCAGCUGCUAUUACUCUGACAUAGUCGAGGCCCAGAUUCACAUUUACAGAAGUUCUGAACUGACUGAGACUUCAAUUGACAUUGGUUACAUCGGUCCAAGAA
Mesitornis unicolor (brown roatelo) is the source of this 1496-nucleotide RNA transcript. It is a transcript of the gene named chromodomain-helicase-DNA-binding protein 9 pseudogene, with no coding region annotated. NCBI's taxonomy places the organism in Eukaryota, Metazoa, Chordata, Aves, Mesitornithiformes, Mesitornithidae. The record is from RefSeq and is a predicted model, not a curated record. The transcript has 2 exons.